UGGGGAAUUUUGCACAAUGGGGGAAACCCUGAUGCAGCGACGCCGCGUGAUUUAGAAGGCCUUCGGGUUGUAAAAAUCUUUUUUAUGGGAUGAAAAUGACAGUACCAUAAGAAUAAGGUCCGGCUAAAUACGUGCCAGCAGCCGCGGUAAUACGUAGGGGGCGAGCGUUAUCCGGAUUCAUUGGGCGUAAAGCGCGCGCAGGCGGCUCUUCAAGCGGAACCUCUAACCCCGGGGCUCAACCUCGGGCCGGGUUCCGAACUGGAGGGCUCGAGUGCGGUAGAGGCAGGCGGAAUUCCCGGUGUAGCGGUGGAAUGCGCAGAUAUCGGGAAGAAAACCGAUGGCGAAGGCAGCCUGCUGGGGCGGCACUGACGCUGAGGCGCGAAAGCUAGAGGGGCGAACAGG
This 402-nucleotide ribosomal RNA is filed under the name Verrucomicrobiota bacterium. RNAcentral's name for it is "Verrucomicrobia bacterium partial 16S ribosomal RNA". It matches the Rfam family "Bacterial small subunit ribosomal RNA", at positions 355 to 776 of the family's 1533-position model. The record is from RNAcentral. Lineage: Bacteria; Pseudomonadati; Verrucomicrobiota.